UCAGAAUCAGAGAGGUGCGGGGAGGUGGCUUAAUCAUUGAGAUCAGAGCAGGUCUCAUAUGGAAGUGGAUCUACAGUGUCUGCACUGGAAAUCUAAUGGAACUCACUGAAUGAAACUAUGGGCAUCUUUGCUGAGAGGGCGUUACCAUCCCACUGAUGCACAAUGAUGUCAUCAAGCAGUAGCCUGACUUCUUGGAUCUCGAGAGGGCUUACAGCAACUUCGUCACAGACUUCAUCACCCAGUCUGCCAGGAUGAAACAACGCUUCUUCCUCUACUACCCCUCCCAUCACACCCACUACCCCCAUUAUGCAGGCCUAGCAGCGUUAGGGUGGUCUCAUAGGGGUCCUUUUGGUGAUGCUCUACUGGAGUUUGACUCUACAUUAGGGAACCUGCUGUCAGCUCC
Molecule: long non-coding RNA, 403 nt
Organism: Oncorhynchus gorbuscha (pink salmon)
Lineage: Eukaryota; Metazoa; Chordata; Actinopteri; Salmoniformes; Salmonidae
Exons: 3
Source: RefSeq, a predicted model, not a curated record